Molecule: small RNA, 119 nt
Filed under: Marmota monax (woodchuck)
Lineage: Eukaryota; Metazoa; Chordata; Mammalia; Rodentia; Sciuridae
Source: RNAcentral
GCCGGGCGUGAUGGCAUACGCCUAUAAUCCCAGCAGCUUGGGAGGCUGAAGCAGGAGGAUCAUGAGUUCAAAGCCAGCCUCAGCAAUGGUGAGGUGCUAUUGGUGAGACCCUAUAUCUA